Oncorhynchus kisutch (coho salmon) is the source of this 622-nucleotide long non-coding RNA. RefSeq lists it as uncharacterized. The record is from RefSeq and is a predicted model, not a curated record. The transcript has 3 exons. Lineage: Eukaryota; Metazoa; Chordata; Actinopteri; Salmoniformes; Salmonidae.
GAGGUGGGGUUCAUCGAGGAACCUCCUUAGUUGGUGGGGGUUCUUGCAGGAACCUAACUGCCCGACAGAAACAUUUGAAUGGACAACAGGUGCAGGCACUUAACUGAAAAAUGUAAAGAUCUCUUCAAUGUAAGGUGAGGUUUGUCCCUUGUAUGAUCUAAAUUGAUAUCUUUCAUAUUUGUGCCAAUCUUUUAAAAACAGAAAAUGAUGGACACAAUUCAAUGGAUAUCAAUCAACAAAGAGGUAUGCAGACGAGGAGACAUACAGUAGAGAGGUAUGUCAAUUGGUAUUGAUAUGUUAUGCAGAUCACAUUUACCAUCGUCCUCCCUGACCUCGUCAAUGAAUAUCCCAUAGGCCUCUACAUUAUGGACAAGACUUCACCCUCCCUACACCUCUGAUGAAUAUAACAGGAAACCUGUUCAAUCACCAUCCACUACAAAAUGAGUCUGGCUAUGCAUACGGAGAACAUCAACACAUUAACAUCAACAGGCCAGAGGAUAUAACCAUUGGACUUGGGGCCCUGCUGGGAGUUUACCUCAUAUUUGUUAGUUUUUUUUAUUCUGCUUUCCCACUAAAAUCAUAAUAAACACUGAGAACUACAAUGUCGUGUUAUUGUUAUGUA